Molecule: ribosomal RNA, 301 nt
Filed under: uncultured bacterium
Lineage: Bacteria
Description: partial 16S ribosomal RNA
Rfam family: Bacterial small subunit ribosomal RNA
Source: RNAcentral
CAGCAGCCGCGGUAAUACGUAGGGUGCAAGCGUUAAUCGGAAUUACUGGGCGUAAAGCGUGCGCAGGCGGUUAUAUAAGACAGAUGUGAAAUCCCCGGGCUCAACCUGGGAACUGCAUUUGUGACUGUAUAGCUAGAGUACGGCAGAGGGGGAUGGAAUUCCGCGUGUAGCAGUGAAAUGCGUAGAUAUGCGGAGGAACACCGAUAGCGAAGGCAAUCCCCUGGGCCUGUACUGACGCUCAUGCACGAAAGCGUGGGGAGCAAACAGGAUUAGAUACCCCUGUAGUCCCUGUCUCUUAUAC